UGGGGAAUUUUGCGCAAUGGGCGAAAGCCUGACGCAGCAACGCCGCGUGGGUGAUGAAGGUCUUCGGAUCGUAAAACCCUGUCGUCAGGGACGAAGGUCGGGGGGUGAACAGCCCUUUGGCUUGACGGUACCUGGAGAGGAAGCCCCGGCUAACUCUGUGCCAGCAGCCGCGGUAAUACAGAGGGGGCAAGCGUUAUUCGGAAUUAUUGGGCGUAAAGGGCGCGUAGGCGGUGUCUUAAGUGGGAUGUGCAAUCCCCGGGCUUAACCUGGGAACUGCAUCCCAGACUGGGACGCUGGAGUACUGGAGAGGGUGGUGUAAUUCCACGUGUAGCGGUGAAAUGCGUAGAGAUGUGGAGGAACACCAGUGGCGAAGGCGGCCACCUGGACAGUAACUGACGCUGAGGCGCGAAAGUGUGGGUAGCAAAC
Molecule: ribosomal RNA, 426 nt
Filed under: uncultured bacterium
Lineage: Bacteria
Description: bacterial SSU rRNA
Rfam family: Bacterial small subunit ribosomal RNA
Source: RNAcentral